This 226-nucleotide long non-coding RNA is filed under the name Linum usitatissimum (flax). RNAcentral describes it as "long non-coding RNA (LUSI_LNC000305)". Lineage: Eukaryota; Viridiplantae; Streptophyta; Magnoliopsida; Malpighiales; Linaceae. The record is from RNAcentral.
CAGCCACCACCUCUACCACCGCAGAAUCAAGCACAGCCGCCACCUCCGCCACCGCCGAAUCAAGCACAGCCGCGGCACAGGGUAAACCAGUAUAAUCAAAGUUAUGGCAGUCAUAUGGCUCAACCACCUCCUUCCGCAUUCCCACAGAACUACGCACAACAGCAAAACUUCCCGCCACAUUACCAGCAGUACCCUUACCCGCCACAGCCUCCAAUGGCGGCAGCAC